UGGCGCAAUGCAGGUGGGUGAUUUAAAAAUUUCCUGAAAUAUCAUCUCUUCAUUUUGUAUUGAAAUUGAGAAAUUGAGAAAAGAAAUUUCAGCUAGACUUCCGAUUUGCACUUCAAGGGAGCCAAGAAAUCAACAGAAAUUUACAGGUCACAGUUGACAGGUUAACCUUUGACCCUCGAGGUGUGAGCGUGUAAUGCCAGCAGCCUAAUUCGAUGAACCCCUUGCUGAUCUAAUGGAAAACUUUGUAUAUUAUGAUUUCUGCGGCGCGCCAAGGUGGGACCACUUAAGAGCAGCACCCUCAUGAAGGGCAGUAAUGGCAACAUACUCUCCUCUGAGUCAGAUUGCACUAAUUGCUGGAAGGAACACUUCAGCCUUCACCACCCAUCGGUUCUGCCUGACCCCGAGCUUUAUUAUUCUGCAGAAACUUCAAGCAAUAUGAACCUAGGUUGCCCAAUGACUCAGGUCAUGCUUGUGGAAGUCAAAGCUGCAGUGGCCUAUUUGAGAAACAAACCUCCAGGUAUCUUCAACCUCACUGUGGAACUGUUAAAAACCAAUGACGACUGCUUGAUUGAGUGGCUCACUCUGAUCAUCAACCGCAUCUGGCGUCCACAAGCAACUUCCUGACGACCGGCCGUGAGGAGUCAUUCUUCUUUUCUAGAAGCCCAAAGGUGUUCAGCCGAUUUAUAAUAAUCACAGGGAUAGCACACUGCUCUCUAUCCGUGGAAAACUAUUUACACAGAUUCGUCUUUCCUGUGCCAUUCUAGCGAUCAGAAGUAAGUGACACCCUCAGCAGGCUGGCUUCAUGUUUUACCACAUCUCAGCUCUACAUCUGAUCAUUGAGGAGUUAUCUGUAUAUCACCUUCAUUGAUUUUAAGGCCAUGUUCGACACCGUUGAUUAGUCUUUCCUCGCAAAAAUGCCCAUGACUCCAGACCAUCACUACCUGACUCAGUGGAUUUGACUCCAGAGCUCUGCAAAUGGUUGUGGUACCACAAAUGAAGAUCUCAGGCAGCAAAGCCAGCAGCAACUGGUAUCUUUCCUUUCUGCUCAGCACCGAGUUGGCUGGUUCAGAUACCUCCAAUGGCUCCAUGUACCAGGUGGAUUGACAUCAUCCAAGAAGACCUCAGGGAGCUGAACAUAGUAUUUGAAUAGGGAUGUAAUCAUGACAACAUUCAAAGCUGAAGGAAGCCAUUGCUUUUAUUAUAGGAGAAAAUCAGAGCGAGAGAGGAUCAUGGAGCAAGGAGUGAGCGAUGUGUGGGUAGCAUCACUCUCAAGAAAGCAGAAUCUUAUUAAAAAACAAGCAUAAGAGAAGUUCUAUCUAUCAAGUUCUAGUGAGGACUGGAGUGAUAGCAGCUCUGACAGUGAUGAGGAACAAGAACAAGGGGUGGAGAAAACAGCAGGUGUUUUGAGGUCAUUGCAGCGUGGUUGGUCUCCAGCCUGUGGGUUCAUCGUCUGGCAUCCCUGCUCUGAUAGAAUUGGAGAAAGUCUUGUUGCCCGGUGUAGGUGCAGUAAUGGCUUCUUACGUUAAGGCAAAAAUCUCUCAUCAUGAUGAGAUCAGAUUGAUCAGCUGUGGAAUCUCCAAACUUGAGGAUGCAGACCUGUUACAUUAUGACUAACAGCAGAUAUCAUCAUAUGGAAGUUGUGCAUAUGUACAAGAACCAGAUCUACAGCAUGGUUUAGGAGCAAGCCCUUGCCUCCAACAAGGAGAGAAGCAAGAGGGGGAUAAGAUCCUUCUGGACUUGUGAGAGAUGAUUGGCAAGGAGGAGAGGAAGACACUUACACAGAUGCCAGGUCUUGCCGCUAUCACUGAGGAGGAACAGUUUGCCAGAUUGCAUGCAACAUCCUCAUUGGAAUCUCAAGCAGUGAUUCACAAAGGCAAGGAAAGGACUCAGUCUUCUCAGGUUCAGUUCCUUGUGUCUGCCUUCAUGUUGGAGGUCUGUAUGCAGUUGUACAUGUAUAUGUAUUGAUAAACAGUAGAGCGCUACUGUAACAGACAUGAUGGAGAUGCUCACAAAAUGUUAAAUAUAUACUGGCAUUCCAAAAAGCGAUUUUUAGUCCCUGAUGCACCUGUUCCUAGCCAAUUCAUACCUGUGGUAAUCUUUCUCAAAAGGAUAAAUGAGGAUUUGGGGGCCAGUAUUUCAAACUUGCACGCAACAAUUUUAGUUAAAAAGAAAGAACACAAAAAAGUUGCCCUUGUGAGCAUGCACAGGGAAGUUGGUCUGCAUGAGCAUCUGAUCAUAUAUGUACGUGUACCCACACAGGAUACAGACCACGACGCAUGUUGGCCGUUGUUCCUUCAUGAGUAAAAUUUCCGUCCACUUUUUAAGUUAUCAUCAUCAUCAGCCCUAAAUAAAUUUGUUUUACUGAGAAUGCACUUUUAAUGCUUGGUAAAAAUGUACAGAAAAUUUGGGAACGUUUAACUCCAAAUUUUGUGAAAAAAUGGAUUUCAUUCUGCUCCUCGAAUCGUACUCAAAGAUCAUUCCAGGCAAAUUUCAUUCAAAAUACUGUAUGGAUAUGUAGUAGUUUCAAUUCAAAUAUCUUAUUUUGGCAACUUCCAACUCGUGCUAGCUAAGACAUUAUAUCAGUACACUCAACCCCCCCAAAAAAACAUGUGCAAAAACAUCUCAAAAUUCAUACAUUCUUGGGAUGUGAUUUAAAACUAUGUUGUUUAUGGCCUUUUUAAAGCCUAAUGAUCACAAUUAAGACCCAUAUCAUCCAGUUUUUUAUUACAUAUUCUACCAAGUAGAAAUUGUGAGCAACAAUAUAACAUUUGUGGAAAAUACAAGAAAAACAAAAUAGCAGUUGCCACUGAUUCAGACACCACUUGGUGUUUUUUUGUUAGAACAGGCUCUAGUUGGAAGAGGAAAAUGCCGAGAUAUGAUGGUUUUGCACUGACACAAUUCAUAAGUAAUCGAGAUGCUUAAGUUCAAAAACUGCAUUCAUAAAUUUACACUGUAAAUGUUAGGGUAGACAUAAUACUUUGGAACUAAAUUAUAUGCUUUUAAAAACUGCAAUGGUGCAUUGCACGUCACAUCUCUCCUUUUCUUGUUCAGGCAUCCAGAAUACCAGUACUGUACCCCCCCUGCAUGUUUAAGCCCACUAUAAAGUGCCCAUUCUCAUUUUAACAAGAUUUUUCUUUUCCUCAUUUUUUGGAAAAAGUUCUGUGUGCCGAUGUAUUUUCCAAGUGUAGAUGCUUAGAGCAGUGGAAAAAAAUAUUUUUAGUUAUCACAAAACUAUUUAGUUUAUUUAAAAAAAUUAGAAAUUGUCAGUGAUUGUAUGCAACAAAAUGUCCAUGUGUUAUUACAGCUAUUUGAUUUAUACAUGCUCUUGCAUUUGAAAUAAAUGUUAAUUUAAGUCAACAGAA
Long non-coding RNA from Acanthaster planci (crown-of-thorns starfish), 3362 nucleotides. NCBI's taxonomy places the organism in Eukaryota, Metazoa, Echinodermata, Asteroidea, Valvatida, Acanthasteridae. The record is from RefSeq and is a predicted model, not a curated record.